GGACGAACGCUGGCGGCGUGCCUACUCCAUGCAAGUUGAGCGCUGAAGGUUGGUACUUGUACCAACUGGAUGAGCAGCGAACGGGUGAGUAACGCGUGGGGAAUCUGCCUUUGAGCGGGGGACAACAUUUGGAAACGAAUGCUAAUACCGCAUAAAAACUUUAAACACAAGUUUUAAGUUUGAAAGAUGCAAUUGCAUCACUCAAAGAUGAUCCCGCGUUGUAUUAGCUAGUUGGUGAGGUAAAGGCUCACCAAGGCGAUGAUACAUAGCCGACCUGAGAGGGUGAUCGGCCACAUUGGGACUGAGACACGGCCCAAACUCCUACGGGAGGCAGCAGUAGGGAAUCUUCGGCAAUGGACGAAAGUCUGACCGAGCAACGCCGCGUGAGUGAAGAAGGUUUUCGGAUCGUAAAACUCUGUUGGUAGAGAAGAACGUUGGUGAGAGUGGAAAGCUCAUCAAGUGACGGUAACUACCCAGAAAGGGACGGCUAACUACGUG
Molecule: ribosomal RNA, 498 nt
Filed under: uncultured bacterium
Lineage: Bacteria
Description: partial 16S ribosomal RNA
Rfam family: Bacterial small subunit ribosomal RNA
Source: RNAcentral